Molecule: ribosomal RNA, 400 nt
Filed under: uncultured bacterium
Lineage: Bacteria
Description: bacterial SSU rRNA
Rfam family: Bacterial small subunit ribosomal RNA
Source: RNAcentral
UAUUGGACAAUGGGGGGAACCCUGAUCCAGCGACGCCGCGUGAGUGAAGAAGUAUUUCGGUAUGUAAAGCUCUAUCAGCAGGGAAGAAAGAAGUGACGGUACCUGACUAAGAAGCCCCGGCUAACUACGUGCCAGCAGCCGCGGUAAUACGUAGGGGGCAAGCGUUAUCCGGAUUUACUGGGUGUAAAGGGAGCGUAGACGGCGAUGCAAGUCUGAAGUGAAAGGCGGGGGCCCAACCCCCGGACUGCUCUGGAAACUAUGUUACUAGAGUGCAGGAGAGGUAAGCGGAAUUCCUAGUGUAGCGGUGAAAUGCGUAGAUAUUAGGAGGAACACCAGUGGCGAAGGCGGCUUACUGGACUGUAACUGACGUUGAGGCUCGAAAGCGUGGGGAGCAAGCAGG